CGCACAUUGCGCCCUCUGGUAUUCCGGGGGGCAUGCCUGUUCGAGCGUCAUUACAACCCUCAAGCUCUGCUUGAUGAUGGGUGCCACGUAACCGUGCGCCUUAAAAUCAGCGGCGGUGCUGCUCUGGCUUCCUGCGUAGUAGAUAAUCUCGCUACGGAGCCUGGCAGUACCUGCCGGAAUACCUCUCAAGGUUGACCUCGGAUCAGGUAGGGAUACCCGCUGAACUUAA
Molecule: unclassified non-coding RNA, 229 nt
Filed under: Rhytismatales sp.
Lineage: Eukaryota; Fungi; Ascomycota; Leotiomycetes; Rhytismatales
Description: partial contains 5.8S ribosomal RNA, internal transcribed spacer 2, and large subunit ribosomal RNA
Source: RNAcentral